ACUUCAUUUAUUUAUUCAAUUUCAGCCAUAAAAAUGAACCCGUCUUCCUAUAACUCUUCCCACCAGCCUUUCCUAAGAAAUUUCUCCGUUCUGUUAAAAGGGAAGUUGAGAACACCACAUGUUGUUUCUGUUGUAUUGACAUGGAUCUACAUUAAACCACAGGUUCUGUUCUUGAGACUGAUGAGGAAGAGUGGGGUGGUAAGGAUUUUGCAACACUACUGUAGUUGGCACAAACUUGUGACUAAGUUAACUUCCUGUUUGCAAUACUUGGGGGGAAUUCAAUGUUAUCUUUCAGCCUUCCCAAAACCAAAGACAAUCUCUGUACAGGAUCUGAAUGUAUAACCUUUUGCAUUAGAACUUUUCUGCAAUGUAGAGAAUUUAAAACUUGUAGUGUAUUUGAGAUUAAUAUGAAAAGGUUUUUGAAGUUUGUAAUAUAGACUACUUCCUCUGCAAUAGCGUCAGAAAAUAUGGUAUUUCCUCAUAUGAAAUUGUAAAUAAGUUUGUAGCCUACGCAGUUACAAAAUGGCUGUAGAAACUGUGGCACAGAUUUCUCUGUACAAUUAGAAGAUAAAUGUGUUAAUUUGAAGGAAAGACUGGCAGACUCUGGGGUCAGUGCUCAAAUGAGUCUCUCUGGGGAGAGAGGAGGGGGACCUGCCUCUAAAAUGAGUCUCUCUGGGAAGAGAGAGGAGGGGGGCCCUGCCUCUAAGACGAGUCUCUCUGUGGAACAUGACUCUAAAACUAAGAGCAACCAGUGAUCCGGGUCAACAGCAUCAAUGUAACAGUAUAACUUUAAACCGUCCCCUCGCCCCGACACGGGCGCGAACCAGGGACCCUCUGCACACAUCGACAACAGUCACCCACGAAGCAGCGUUACCCAUCGCUCCACAAAAGCCACGGCCCUUGCAAAGCAAGGGGCAACACUACUUAAGUCUCAGAGCAAGUGACGUAACUGAUUACAUUUACAUUUACAUUUAAGUCAUUUAGCAGACGCUCUUAUCCAGAGCGACUUACAAAUUGGUGCAUUCACCUUAUGACAUCCAGUGGAACAGCCACUUUACAAUAGUGCAUCUAGAUCAUCUAGAUCAAUAGUGCAUCUAGAUCAACUGAUUGAAAUGCUACUAGCGCGUACCCGCUAACUAGCUAGCCAUUUCACAUCCGUUACAUGUACACCUUCAAUAUUAAUUACAUUUACAUUUUAGUCAUUUAGCAGACGCUCUUAUCCAGAGCGACUUACAGUAGAGUGCAUACAUUUUAUUACAUUUUACAUACUGAGACAAGGAUACCCCUACCGGCCAAACCCUCCCUAACCCGGACGAUGCUAUGCCAAUUGUGCGUCGCCCCACGGACCUUAAUGUUAUCAGAUUGUUUAUUAAUAGAUUUGAGAUGUGUAUAAAACUGUUAUUUCUUAGCAAAACUCAAUAUAUCCAUUGUUUAUCAGGAAUGGAUUGUUGGUAUCCUGUAUAUUUGACUGUGAUAUGUGGUUGUCUCACCUAGAUAUCUAUAUAUCCAUUGUUUAUCAGGAAUGGAAUGUUGGUAUCCUGUAUAUUUGACUGUGAUAUGUGGUUGUCUCACCUAGAUAUCUAUAUAUCCAUUGUUUAUCAGGAAUGGAAUGUUGGUAUCCUGUAUAUUUGACUGUGAUAUGUGGUUGUCUCACCUAGAUAUCUAAAGAUGAACGCACUUACAGAUGCCAUAAAUUUAUUAAUUUGACUCAGUUUCUCAGAGCAAGAAAAGAAUCCUGCAGCAACAGGAAAUAUGAAUUAUUAUGUGGAUUAUAAUUGUCACAGGCCGGCUCAUAGCCUGUGACAAAAAUGAGAGGACACGAACAACAGGUAUAGGCCAAUUAAAAAGGUUCUUUAUAAUAAACCAAAAACUAUUAACUUUAAACUAAGAAAAAGGAAUGAGGUGUGGAAGUAUCAUAAUGUAAGGUGUAUGUAAAGUGCAUGGAUGCAUGAAUCUGUGUGUGUGAAUAUGACUGAGUGAAAACUAUGCAAAACUACAAACGAACAAACAAAAUAGGAUCAUACCUGGAGGAGCAGAGAGAGAGAGAAAAGUGAUUAGUGAAGCAGUUUAAAUACCCUGAGCCCAGGUGGCUCCAUUCACUAACGACCCUCCUCUGCCUGCAGGAGGAACCGCCCCUGCAAUGCAGAGGGGCCGUGACAUAAUUAAUUAAAUGUUUUUUUUUAGGGCAAAUCAAGUUUGACAUUUUUAAAGUGGAAAUUCCAAACUAUGUAUAGAACCAUUUUAAAGGCUGAAAUACACUACAAUACAGCAUUUGUAUUGUAAGUCACUCUGGUGCCUGGUUUCCUCGAUAGCGAUGGAAUUUAGGUUUACAAGUGUUUUAAGUGUAUCUUUCCUACAACAGCUGAAGAUGUAACAUGCAUUUCCCAUGCACCACGCAGAGAGAAUGGUCACUAUGACGACUGAAAACACAACCGUGGGACGAACGAGUGACACAUUUCUGGGCAUGGGCGGUCCAUUUAAAAUGUAUUCAUUUGCCUUGCACGUAUAACUCAUCAUAUGUCAUGAAACGUCAUCAGAAGUGUCCACCUAAUUUGAGGGCUGAGGGGAGAGGGUGUCUUUAAGUCUUUGAAACGCAGCCAUGGAUAGUUUCUAAGUAACAUUACCACGUGAUCAAUGACGUCCAAAGCUUUGUCUGAUCUCAUGCUUUUCUGACCCAUUGUUGUUUAAAUUGUUGUUUAAAUAAUGUGUGUUAUUUAGUGUAGCCUACAAUAAUAUUCUGUAUUUGGUAUUCUAAAUAAUACCACAGAUGCAUAGAUUCUGAAAACAGUGAACCUGGAGGCUAAAAGAGAACCCCACAUUCUAACUAAAUGUUGUUUAUUAGUACUCAAAUCCUUCAAUGGCAUUUUCGGUACAAUUUGGUGAAAUCCCCAAAAAGUUCAGAAAUCCUCGGUUUCCCAUCACCACGUGAUAUGUCUUUUAGUAAAUGUUUUUUUUUCUAGGAGGGACUAGAGACUUCAUGCAUAGCUUUAAUUUAUACUCAUGAGUGUAAAUGUCUUUAUUCUCAGCACUUAUACGACCAGUUUUCUACUCUGAGACGCUUUGUGGAUAUGGGCCCAGAUCUCAACAUAUUGUUAUUAAAAACGUAGAAUGUUUGUUUAACAUAAUAAUAAAACAUGAAUAUUACUAAUGUAACCCACUGUAAAGACUGGGUUUAGUUGAUUGUGUUGCACUGCUCAUGUCCACGUACAGAACUGUCCACGUCCCCGUACAGAACUGUCCGUGUCCCCGUACAGAACUGUCCGUGUCCACGUACGGUGUGGCGCCAAGCAUAUUGUCCAGUUACACGCAGAGUUGGCUGAGGUGAUCUUGGGGAAUAACGAUGGAGUUUGUUACAGUGUUGAGACACCGAAGUUAAGUGUUCAAUUAUUUUAAUCGAAUAGAAUCUACAGAUUGCGUGUUGAAGAUAAAUACUUUUACUAAGACUAUUAGUAUAUUAGUAAUUGACUGACCCGGUUUCUCCAGAUCUCCCAACAGUACUAUUUCUAGGGUCAAUUUUAGAUCAAUGCUGUGCAUUUUCAGCCAUUCCUGAACCUGAGACCAGAAACAGGCUACCUGAGGGCAAUACCAAAAUAAAUGGUCUAUUGAUUCUGUAUCCUCACAACAAAAUCUGCAGAGCUUCGAUGAUUUUAUGCCCCAAAUAUUCAACAUUUUGUUGUUGGCAAGAAUUCUAUAUAAUAAUUUUAGCCUAAAAGCACGAAGUCUUGAAUCUUGCUUUGUUUUAUAUAUUAACUCAUACACCCUUUACCAUGGAAUCGGUACAUCAAAAAUCUCUUCCCAACUAUUUUGCAAUCUGUAUGGCACAGUUGUCAACAUCCUGGUCCUCAAAUGAAACUAGUAUACUUUCCUAUUUAUGACAUUGUUAUUCCUCUGCCAGUUUUGAUCCUUUAUAUUUGGCAGACAGACCAGUUCGAUACCUCCUCCAUUUUUGGGGUAAUGCUGUAAUCAAUUGGUUGUACUCUUGGAUUGAACAGACCUUCCCGUACAAUUCUGAUAACUCCAUGAAGAACAUAACUCUACCAUUACAAUUUACAAUAUCAUUUAAGAACAAAAUACUCUUUUCAAACAUCUUUCCCAUAAAUACAGGUAUUUUAUCAACCAGCACAUUUGAGUUCAGCCAUAAUAUUUGUUGUAAUAUUUGUUCUAUCUUUUCAGGGGGGUGAAAUUAAAAUUGUAGCCAGCUCUGGAAUGCUGGUUUUAAAAAGAAAGAUACUUUGAAAAAAGUAUAAUUCUCAAUUAAUCUAAAAUGAGACAUGGAAAUCUGCACAAAGGCACAAAGGCCAUUUUUAAACAAUGGAUGAGCUUUUCUUUUUAAUCUACUGGAGAACCAUUUAGGGUUCAAGUAAAACUGUUGAAUCGGUGAAGCUUUUAGAGAGAGGUUUAGGGCUGUUAUAUUUAAUAACCUCAACCCACCCAAUUCAUAUUCAUUAUACAGAUAGUCACUCUUUAUUUUGUCUGGUUUAGCGUCCCAGAUAAAGCGAGAUAUUUGUUGCUCAUAUGAUUUGAAAAACAAGUCAUCAGGAGCAGCAGCAUCAUAAACUGAGAGAAGAUUAAGGGGUUAAUCAGGGCAGUUUUCCAUAAAUAGACAGGUAUUUACCUCUCCACAGAUCAGGGCAGUUUUCCAUAAAUAGACAGGUAUUUACCUCUCUGCAGUUGCAGGAUCUUAUCCAUUUUUUUUGUACUUGUUUCUGGUCAUGUGACAUUGCCCUUGUUUAUCAUAUCAAAUCAAAUCACAUUUUAUUGGUCACAUACACAUGGUUAGCAGAUGUUAAUGCGAGUGUAGCGAAAUGCUUGUGCUUCUAGUUCCGACCGUGCAGUAAUAUUGUCACACUCUGGCCUUUGUUAUAUUGAUUUUCUUUAUUAGUUUAGUUAGGUCAGGGUGUGACAUGGGAUGUUUGUGUGUUUUUGUCUAGUUUAGGGUGUGUGUAUUGUUUAGGGGGUUUUGUAGUAUGUAUGGGGUUGUGUUCAGUGUAGGUGUUUAGGAAAGUCUAUGGUGGCCUGAUUUGGUUCUCAAUCAGAGACAGCUGUUUAUUGUUGUCUUUGAUUGGGAGCCAUAUUUAAGGCAGCCAUAACCUUUAGGUGUUUGUGGGUAAUUGUCUAUGUUGAACGUUUGUAGCUUGUGUGUGCACUAACGUUUGUAGCUUCA
Salvelinus fontinalis (brook trout) is the source of this 5164-nucleotide long non-coding RNA. RefSeq lists it as uncharacterized. The transcript is spliced from 3 exons. The record is from RefSeq and is a predicted model, not a curated record. NCBI's taxonomy places the organism in Eukaryota, Metazoa, Chordata, Actinopteri, Salmoniformes, Salmonidae.